This 603-nucleotide ribosomal RNA is filed under the name uncultured bacterium. Its description in RNAcentral is "bacterial SSU rRNA". The stretch from base 1 to 518 matches the Rfam family "Bacterial small subunit ribosomal RNA", at positions 338 to 873 of the family's 1533-position model. The record is from RNAcentral.
CCUACGGGAGGCAGCAGUGGGGAAUCUUGCGCAAUGGGCGAAAGCCUGACGCAGCCAUGCCGCGUGAAUGAUGAAGGUCUUAGGAUUGUAAAAUUCUUUCACCGAGGACGAUAAUGACGGUACUCGGAGAAGAAGCCCCGGCUAACUUCGUGCCAGCAGCCGCGGUAAUACGAAGGGGGCUAGCGUUGCUCGGAAUUACUGGGCGUAAAGGGAGCGUAGGCGGAUAGUUUAGUCAGAGGUGAAAGCCCAGGGCUCAACCUUGGAAUUGCCUUUGAUACUGGCUAUCUUGAGUACGGAAGAGGUAUGUGGAACUCCGAGUGUAGAGGUGAAAUUCGUAGAUAUUCGGAAGAACACCAGUGGCGAAGGCGACAUACUGGUCCGUUACUGACGCUGAGGCUCGAAAGCGUGGGGAGCAAACAGGAUUAGAUACCCUGGUAGUCCACGCUGUAAACGAUGAGUGCUAGUUGUCGGCAUGCAUGCAUGUCGGUGACGCAGCUAACGCAUUAAGACACUCCGCCGUCGGGGAGGUACGGUCGCGAGAAUUAAACUACGAAGAAGUUAGACGGCGUGAGACGUGCCGACGGACGACGACGAGGGAGGAGG